GGUUAAGCGACUAAGCGUACACGGUGGAUGCCCUGGCAGUCAGAGGCGAUGAAGGGCGUGCUAAUCUGCGAUAAGCGCCGGUAAGGUGAUAUGAACCGUUAUAACCGGCGAUACCCGAAUGGGGAAACCCAGUGUGAUUCGUCACACUAUCAUUAACUGAAUCCAUAGGUUAAUGAGGCGAACCGGGGGAACUGAAACAUCUAAGUACCCCGAGGAAAAGAAAUCAACCGAGAUUCCCCCAGUAGCGGCGAGCGAACGGGGAGGAGCCCAGAGCCUGAAUCAGCAUGUGUGUUAGUGGAAGCGUCUGGAAAGGCGCGCGAUACAGGGUGACAGCCCCGUACACAAAAGCGCAUGUGCUGUGAGCUCGAUGAGUAGGGCGGGACACGUGGUAUCCUGUCUGAAUAUGGGGGGACCAUCCUCCAAGGCUAAAUACUCCUGACUGACCGAUAGUGAACCAGUACCGUGAGGGAAAGGCGAAAAGAACCCCGGCGAGGGGAGUGAAAAAGAACCUGAAACCGUGUACGUACAAGCAGUGGGAGCACCCUUCGGGGUGU
Molecule: ribosomal RNA, 554 nt
Filed under: Salmonella enterica subsp. enterica serovar Derby
Lineage: Bacteria; Pseudomonadati; Pseudomonadota; Gammaproteobacteria; Enterobacterales; Enterobacteriaceae
Description: partial 23S ribosomal RNA
Rfam family: Bacterial large subunit ribosomal RNA
Source: RNAcentral